Molecule: long non-coding RNA, 867 nt
Filed under: Hordeum vulgare
Lineage: Eukaryota; Viridiplantae; Streptophyta; Magnoliopsida; Poales; Poaceae
Description: long non-coding RNA (HVUL_LNC006822)
Source: RNAcentral
UUCACAUGAUAUUUUACAAGAUAUAAAAUGACGCAUAAUUAUAUUUUAUGCAGUCUUAGAAGACAUAAAAGUCUAACAUGAGGGGGAAAAAUGUCAUAUCCACAAAUAAAAUAUAAGUCAGAGGACUAAUCUGUUCCACGCUGAUAUGGUCGCUGUUGUGGCGCACGCAAGCUGAUGCGUUGGAAAGCAACGCGCACAAGCCUCCCCCUCGUUGAGAGGAGACAGGCCGAGGGCUGCCGCUCGCCGGGCCAUGCCUGGUACGACAGAUGGCCCUGCCGUUGUUGUUCAGUCGGUAUUGGGCAGCCGCGUUGAAGAUGCAGGUGUUGAUUCUGAGUGGUUGCUUCUACGAUCUUGAAGAUUUUCUGUUCAGAGUGAUCUCGCCCACACCCACUUUUUUCAAGUAGAUGGUUGAAUGUUGAUCCAUCCAUGUAAAUAUUCUUGCACAGCAUGCAUGGACGUACAUGAAAACAGAAUCAUAUAUUAAUUUGCUGAUCCUAAUCACAAGAAGACAAUAAAUUAGGCUAUUGAGUUUUUCUUUCCAUGAAUGCAUGCAUGCCUAUGCAUGGCCGUCUUUGUCGUGGACGUUCUAGCCGAAUCACCCAGCGAUCAAUUCCAAGGCUGCAGAUGGAGUUUCGCUGAGGCCCCUUCGCGGCGGGAGCGUGCCGCACCGAGGAGCCUGUAUUGUCCGCCAACCGAGUUUUUGUCGCCCAUGCAACCCUGUCGGGAGGACGACGAGGCGUUGGAUCCUGUAGGCGAGCGUUGCGGAUGUUCUACCGUCUCAGAUGGCCUUUUUCUCUCAAAAUAAAGGGCGAAGUGCUGAUAACGUGUUUGAAAUAGAAAGUAAAGAACAAGAGAGAUGAAUGAAAG